This is a long non-coding RNA of Octopus bimaculoides (California two-spot octopus), 1416 nucleotides long. RefSeq lists it as uncharacterized. NCBI's taxonomy places the organism in Eukaryota, Metazoa, Mollusca, Cephalopoda, Octopoda, Octopodidae. The record is from RefSeq and is a predicted model, not a curated record.
UGUGUUGUAGUCUGGUCGCCAGAAAACUCGGUUGAUAUGUUUUGUGAAAGCUCUGCAAGCCAUGAACAGAGAUGCCGUCAGCAAGGCGUGAAAAUGCUUAUUUUACCACAGAAAUAAUUAAAAUCUAAAAAAAUAUAAAUACCUAUUGGCCAUAGAAACUCAUGAUAAACUGAGGAGUCCGCGAUAUAAUUUUACACAUAUUAGCGAGAAAAAUCCGCAACGUGAUGAAGAUGCGAUCGGUAAACUGUGAUAUGAUUGAAGGAGACGGAUGCGGCAGCACUUUGAACACACCCUACAAAACACUGCUUGUCACAGACGACUAGUUCGCAGAAUGCAGUCGGGACUUGAGGACAAUUUCGAAGCUUGUUGUGCAAUGAAGCUUUGUGCUGUUGAAACUUAUAAAAUGUCCCAGAUCGCUUAUGAAUUAACUUGUAUUAGCCGAACAUCUGUUUUCGCUGGCACAAGAGGUUCAAGAACGCUAGAGAGGAGGUGGGAAACGAUAAGAGGUGUUGGAGGGAGAACAUCAGAACAUCAGAGCCGGUUAGGAAGAUUCGCUAUUUUAUGGAGGUAGACUGAAUACUAUUGUCAAUAAAGACAAUAGUAUUCAGUUUGGAGUUGGUGUAGCGACAGUACACAGAAUUAUUCAAGAAGAUAUGAACACGUGCAAAAUGUGUAGAAAAAUUGUUCCCAGAGUACUCAUUGACGAACACAAGAAAAGAGGUGUUGGUGAUAACAGGGAGAUGGCUGAGCUCAUGACCUCCCAUCUAAAAAUACUUGAGUCUCUGGUGACCUGUGAGAAAAGCUGGCUCUACUGUUAUGAUCCAGAGACCAAAAGAUAGACUUCCCAAUGGAAACAUCUUGGUUCUCGCAGACCCAAGAAGGCUAGGCAAAGCAAGUUCCCCGGGACGUUCUUGAUGUUCCCCUUUUUCAACAGCAAAGGCGUCAUUUACAUCCACUGGGGUUUCUUUGUCCUGAAAGUCAGCAAAGAGUAUUUUGUAACAAUCUUAAAGGGAUUCAAGAAGAGAUUUCGUUGUAAAAGGCCAGAGCUCUCUCAUUCGACUUGGUGGCAUCUGAACCAGAGCAAUGCAUCACACCGCAGUUCUAUCCUAAUAAAAAACUACUUGACAAAGAUAGGCAUCAUAGCUGUCCCUCCCCUCCUUACAGUUUAGACCUUACUCACCGUGACUUUUGGCUGUUCCUCAAGCUGAAAGAGAACCUCAGGGAAAAUGGUUUUGAAGACACUGAGAAGAUGAAGGUAAUCGUGACAGGGUUCCUCGACACCUUCACUUCGGAGGACUUCCCCAGGCCUUCAUUAAGUGUGGGCGGAUUGCUAUAAGUGCAUUGAAGUCAGAGGAUCCUACUUUGAAAGUGAUUACAGUCUUGUACUUUGAAAUUAAUAAAUGUCUCCUGAAAAUA